CGUGGAGGACGACCUCCCCCUUCCCGGGCCCACACGACCAGGACGACCUGG
RNAcentral lists this non-coding RNA (51 nucleotides) under Novilysobacter luteus. RNAcentral's name for it is "Lysobacter sp. CECT 30171 mini-ykkC". It matches the Rfam family "Guanidine-II riboswitch aptamer (mini-ykkC)". From Rfam's summary of the family: Simpler in structure and has fewer highly conserved nucleotide positions than the ykkC-yxkD leader. The record is from RNAcentral. Lineage: Bacteria; Pseudomonadati; Pseudomonadota; Gammaproteobacteria; Lysobacterales; Lysobacteraceae.